CCACUCCCUAUUGCCUCAUCCCUACCAGGUCACAGACUGAUACUAGCUGCCUGCCCCUCUGAUGGAAUUGAAGGUUUAACCCUACAGUGUCACUCUGUCCACCCAGGCUGGAGCGUAAUGGCACGAUCUCAGCUCACUGCAACCUCCAUCUCCAGGGUUCAAGCAAUUCUCCUGCCUCAGCCUCUCGAUGAAACCAACUUCAUAAAGGCUGUGGCAUUUCUUCCAAGACACUACGAUGAAGAUGACAUCAUCAGGAGACUUAGGGAAAGCUACGACUUUUCAAGUAACUAAAGUGGGUGACCCUCACUACUUUGUGGGCUCAAUAGCUGUGUCUUCAUUUAUAAAAAUAAAAUGGUAGAGACUGUAUUGGACAGGAGAGACCUGGAAUAUGGAUCUAAG
RNAcentral lists this long non-coding RNA (399 nucleotides) under Homo sapiens (human). RNAcentral describes it as "HSALNT0386893". The record is from RNAcentral. Lineage: Eukaryota; Metazoa; Chordata; Mammalia; Primates; Hominidae.